Molecule: ribosomal RNA, 830 nt
Filed under: Microbacterium sp. HCA2-17_Pa
Lineage: Bacteria; Bacillati; Actinomycetota; Actinomycetes; Micrococcales; Microbacteriaceae
Description: bacterial SSU rRNA
Rfam family: Bacterial small subunit ribosomal RNA
Source: RNAcentral
GCAAGUCGAACGGUGAAGCCCAGCUUGCUGGGUGGAUCAGUGGCGAACGGGUGAGUAACACGUGAGCAACCUGCCCCUGACUCUGGGAUAAGCGCUGGAAACGGCGUCUAAUACUGGAUAUGUACCACGAUCGCAUGGUCUGUGGUUGGAAAGAUUUUUCGGUUGGGGAUGGGCUCGCGGCCUAUCAGCUUGUUGGUGAGGUAAUGGCUCACCAAGGCGUCGACGGGUAGCCGGCCUGAGAGGGUGACCGGCCACACUGGGACUGAGACACGGCCCAGACUCCUACGGGAGGCAGCAGUGGGGAAUAUUGCACAAUGGGCGCAAGCCUGAUGCAGCAACGCCGCGUGAGGGAUGACGGCCUUCGGGUUGUAAACCUCUUUUAGCAGGGAAGAAGCGAAAGUGACGGUACCUGCAGAAAAAGCGCCGGCUAACUACGUGCCAGCAGCCGCGGUAAUACGUAGGGCGCAAGCGUUAUCCGGAAUUAUUGGGCGUAAAGAGCUCGUAGGCGGUUUGUCGCGUCUGCUGUGAAAUCCGGAGGCUCAACCUCCGGCCUGCAGUGGGUACGGGCAGACUAGAGUGCGGUAGGGGAGAUUGGAAUUCCUGGUGUAGCGGUGGAAUGCGCAGAUAUCAGGAGGAACACCGAUGGCGAAGGCAGAUCUCUGGGCCGUAACUGACGCUGAGGAGCGAAAGGGUGGGGAGCAAACAGGCUUAGAUACCCUGGUAGUCCACCCCGUAAACGUUGGGAACUAGUUGUGGGGUCCAUUCCACGGAUUCCGUGACGCAGCUAACGCAUUAAGUUCCCCGCCUGGGGAGUACGGCCGCAAGGCUAA